RNAcentral lists this ribosomal RNA (704 nucleotides) under uncultured Enterobacterales bacterium. RNAcentral's name for it is "bacterial SSU rRNA". It matches the Rfam family "Bacterial small subunit ribosomal RNA", at positions 77 to 774 of the family's 1533-position model. Lineage: Bacteria; Pseudomonadati; Pseudomonadota; Gammaproteobacteria; Enterobacterales. The record is from RNAcentral.
AGCUUGCUGUUUCGCUGACGAGUGGCGGACGGGUGAGUAAUGUCUGGGAAACUGCCUGAUGGAGGGGGAUAACUACUGGAAACGGUAGCUAAUACCGCAUAACGUCGCAAGACCAAAGAGGGGGACCCUCGGGCCUCCUGCCAUCGGAUGUGCCCAGAUGGGAUUAGCUUGUUGGUGGGGUAACGGCUCACCAAGGCGACGAUCCCUAGCUGGUCUGAGAGGAUGACCAGCCACACUGGAACUGAGACACGGUCCAGACUCCUACGGGAGGCAGCAGUGGGGAAUAUUGCACAAUGGGCGCAAGCCUGAUGCAGCCAUGCCGCGUGUAUGAAGAAGGCCUUCGGGUUGUAAAGUACUUUCAGCGGGGAGGAAGGGAGUAAAGUUAAUACCUUUGCUCAUUGACGUUACCCGCAGAAGAAGCACCGGCUAACUCCGUGCCAGCAGCCGCGGUAAUACGGAGGGUGCAAGCGUUAAUCGGAAUUACUGGGCGUAAAGCGCACGCAGGCGGUUUGUUAAGUCAGAUGUGAAAUCCCCGGGCCCAACAUGGGAACUGCAUCUGAUACUGGCAAGCUUGAGUCUCGUAGAGGGGGGUAGAAUUCCAGGUGUAGCGGUGAAAUGCGUAGAGAUCUGGAGGAAUACCGGUGGCGAAGGCGGCCACAUGGACGAAGACUGACGCUCAGGUGCGAAAGCGUGGGGAGCAAACA